Molecule: long non-coding RNA, 12524 nt
Filed under: Capsicum annuum
Lineage: Eukaryota; Viridiplantae; Streptophyta; Magnoliopsida; Solanales; Solanaceae
Description: long non-coding RNA (CANN_LNC005494)
Source: RNAcentral
UUGUACUGGUAUACUGCUAAGCAACUAUUUUACACAUGUAUAAAAUGACUGAAGUUACUAUACGGAAAUAUAAUCAUGAUGAAAUCUAGAAAAAAAAUACAACACUAAUAUAAUUUUACAUUCUGAUGAAACUAAAGAGCAGAACUGAAAUUACAUGAUUGACUAUGACUAACAUCUGUGAAGCCUAUACUAUAAUGACUAUAGAUGGCUAGGAUGCGACUAAAACUACCACUAAUUAAUACAUAUGAGUAAGAAAGUAAAGUACAUAAAUAACGUCUAACUAAAGUCCCCGAACUAGGAGGACUCAUCAUCUGCUGGCUGGAAUCUGCAACUGUCUAAUCGUGAUAUAUGGACUACAACUGAACUGGUACCUACAUUAUUAGACAAUGUAGCACAUAGAACUAUAUGUGGAUCAUUACUUUUGAAAUAUACUGAGCAUAUGAGGGUGAAUGCAUAAGUAAGAUAAUAUAUCAAUGUUCGUAUAAACUUGUAAAAUAAUGCAUGCUAAGUAUAAAUGACUCAUAUUGGCUAGAAUAACUGAAAGAUGAAAAUCAUGAAUCAUGAAUGAUAAAACAUACUGUAUAAAUCUUGUGAGUCAUAACACUUAGUUCUAAAAGCUGUAUUUUUACUCUUUCUGCUAGUGGACUAAGUAGAAUUGAAGUUAAGUCUAUUUUCAAAUCAUACAGGCUAAGUGAAAAUGGACACACCUUUGUAUCUAUAAACUAAAAGCUGAAAUCUCAUAGCUAAUAACUUAUGUAAAACAAUAUUUGCAUAAAAUUGUAAGCCUUUACACUUAGGGGCCAUUUGGUGUGAGGUACUAAGACAAGUUAUCCCGGAAUAAAAUAAUAGUCCCGGGAUAAACUUUUUAAUACACCGUUUGGUUUGGCAAUAGUUGGGAUAACAUCCCGGGAUUAAUAAUAGUCCCUGGAUAAGUUAUACCACAUAUUUGGUGGUAUAAGUUAUCCCACCUUAAUUUAUCCCGGGAUAAAUUAUAAAAUGACAAAAAUAUCCUAAAUCCAUUACAAACACAUUUCUCCAAUCUUUUUCAUUAUCUUUAAUCAUUGCUUUUGAAAUUGAAAAAAAAUUAUUGAUAUCUACUUGAUUAUCUAAAACGUGUUAUUUAUGACAAAUUAAAAAGACUAAAAUAUCUUAUUUUGGAACGAAGGAAAUAUAUGACUAAGAAAAAUUAGCCUCUUAUUAAUUAAACUUUACAUUUUUUUUCAUUUCAUUGCUUGUGAAUUUUAUAAACUUAUACACUAUUUUCUUAUAUACAACAACAACAAACCCAGUGUAUUCCCACAUAGUGGGGUCUGGGGAGGGUAAGAUGUACGCAGUCCAUACUACUACCUCCGAUGAGGUAGAGAGGCUGUUUUCGAUAGAUCCCCAGCUCACGACACGCGAUACUAAUUAAAUCUGAAAUAAAGCAUGGGAAAGAUGAAAAUACAUAACUAAUCCACCCACAAAGUAUAAUUAACAAAUAAUAGUAAACAAAUACGUAAUAAGGCAUGAAACAAUGUGGCAUAACAAGAAAAGUUCACCCAUCCAGUAUUGCCCUACCUCAAUGACCCAAACUAUCACUAACCUUCUAUCCUGAUUUGCGUCCUCCAGAUCUUCCUAUAUAGGGUCAUGUCCUCAGUGAGUUGCAACUUCUCCAUGUCCUACCUAAUGACCUCUUUCCAGUAUUUCUUCGGUCUACCCCUACCCCACUUAAAUCCAUCCAAUGCUAGACGCUCACUACUAUGAAGCGGGGUAUCCGUUCCCCUCCUUAUCACGUGCCCGAACCAUCUCAAUCGAACUUCCCAGAUCUUGUCCUCCACUGAAGCCCCUUCAAUUUUUUCCUGAAUGGUCUCAUUCCGAACUCUAUCAGCCCUAGUAAUCCCACACAUCCAAUGCAACAUCCUCAUUUUUGUCACCUUCAAUUUUUGGAUGUGAGAGUUUUUGACUGGCCAAUACUCCGCUCCAUACAACAUGGUCAGACGAAAUACCACCCUAUAGAAUUUGCCUUUAAGCUUGGGCGGCACCUUCCUAUCACAUAACACCCAUGAGGUGAGCUUCCACUUCAUCCAUCCCGCCCUAAUAUGGUAGGAGACAUCCUCGUCAAUCUUACCAUUUCCCUGAAUCAUGGACCUAAGAUACUUAAAACUACCCCUCUUGCAAACUGCAUGGGAAUCCAACCUUACUACCAAGUCGUCCUCCUGCCUGAACUCAUUAAACUUGCAUUCCAAAUACUCUAUCUUGGUCCUACUCAACCUGAACCCUUUAGACUCAAGGGUCUGUCGCCACACCUCUAGUUUAUCAUUCACACACCCUCGCGUCUCAUCAAUCAAAACUACAUCGUCUGUAAAAAGCAUAGACCAAGGUACCUCUCCUUGAAUACGCCGCAUCAACACAUCCAACACCAAAGCAAACAAAAUCGGGCUAAGAGUAGAUCCCUGAUGUAGCCCUGUCAAGACAGGGAAAUGCUCUGAAUCUCCUCCCGCUGUCCUAAAUUGUGUCUUAGCUCCAUCAUACAUAUCCUUGAUUGCUCUGAUAUACACCAUCAGGACCCCACUCACCUCCAAGCAUCUCCGAAGAACCUUUCUAGGGACUUUUUCGUACGCCUUCUCCAAGUCGAUAAACACCAUGCAGGUCUUUCUUCAUUUCUCUAUACUGUUCUACCAAUCUUCGCACCAGAUGAAUUUCCUCUAUCGUCGAGCGCUCAGGCAUAAAUCCUAACUGGUUCUCUGAGAUAGUCACUAACCUCCUUAACCUCAACUCAACCACUCUCUCCUAAAUCUUCAUAGUGUGGCUCAAUAAUUUUAUCCCUCUAUAGUUGUUGCAACUCUAAAUGUCGCCCUUGUUCUUAUAUAACGGGAUCAUAGUACUCUAUCUCCAAGCCUCGGGUAUUUUUUUUGACUUGAAAAUGCCGUUAAUCAAAAUAGUCAACCAUCGCAAGCCGGUCUCGCCAGAAAACUUCCAAAAAUCCACUAGAAUCUCAUCAGGCCCCGUCGCCCUACCCCUACAUAUCCUGCAAACCGCCUCUUUGACCUCCUCUACCUUAAAGCGUCUACAAUACCUAAAAUCACAACACUCCUGAGAGUGCUCCAGAUUCCCUAACAUAAUAGCUCUAUCCCCUUCGUCAUUCAAUAACCUAUUAAAGUACAACUACCAUCUCAUCUUAAUGAGCCCGUCCUCCUCCAACACUCCACCAUUCUCCCCCUUAAUGCACUUCACCUGGUCGAGGUCACGACCCUUUCUCUCCCUAGCCUUAGCAAGCCUAAACAACUCGCCUCCUCAAAAUGCAAAAUUAACAAAUUAAAAAAUAAAAUAUGUUAGAUUCAAACAUAAUAAGGAUCAAAACUAGGUACUAUAAAUUUUUAUAUAUCCAACAAAAUGUACGUACUAUAAUUUUUUAAGCAUAGAAAAAUGGAAUUCAACAUCAACUUUUUCCUUCUAAAUUUUAUUUUUGUGAAUUGAUAACACAAAAAGUUCUUACUACACAAUGAAAAGAAUAACUAAAGUAAGUAGAUUUUAUAAUAAUAAUUAUCAUUCACUAGUAAUCUAUAAAAUAUUUUAACAACUACAAAGGCGUUGCCUAGUUUUAAUACACAUUAUCAUUUCACAAUCAACUCUAUUGUUCAAUUACAUAUUUUAAAUUAAAUAGUUCUUUAAUAACUUGAAAAUUGAUAUUGUAUAUAUCAAUUAAAAUGAAUUUUAAUAUUCUAUAUUAUAUGAGUAAUAUGUGUUUAAAUGAAGUGACAUAAACAACAAAUCUUCUUUUACUUUAACAAACUUAAGUUGGAAGUUUUUAAUUCAAACUAAAUAAGAUGUAGUAAGUUUUUUUUUUAAACGCACACGGUAUAAUCAUGGGAAGGCACAUGCAAAAAAAUUAAAGCUAAAUAAGAUGAAAGUUUUAUUUUUAAAAUACACAGAUAUAAACAUGAAAAUGCACACAUAAAAAAAUUAAGCUAAAUAGGAUGGAAGUUUUAUUUUUAAGAAUAAAUUUUUAAAGCUUGAAAACAAAUAUAUAUAAACAAAAAAGAAGUUAAAUAAGAUAGGGGUAUUUUGGUAAUCAAAUACUUUAUUCUUAGAAAUUAUACCAUGCAUAUUAAUUUGAAAACAACAAACCAUACAGUCAAUAAAAAAUAAUCCCAGCAUAACUAAUCCCAGUAUAACUUAUCCCAGCAUAACUAAUCCCAGCAUAACUACAUUCCCAACCAAACGACACCUUAGUUUCUAAAAGUUGUUCUGUUAUUCUGUUUUAGGACUUAGGCUUUAGGGAGAUUCUUUUAACCGAUAUACACUACGUGAGCUAUCAUAGUAUCCAACGUCUAGUUCUCCUAAGGGGAAAACCUCACGUUGGGGAGAGGUGUCAUACUCUUGUUAAGGAGUAUAACUUGAGCUAAGUGAUCACAAUUUUUACCGUAUCCAUAUACAAAUAGAAUAUAAUCAGAAUUUGUACUUAUGUUGGCUCGUAGUUCUAGGGAAUUAGGAUGCUCUAAACCCACACUUCUCUCUCGGUACUAAAUACUACUCCCUUUAAUUUGUAUGCUUAAUCUGUAGAAAAUUCACUUUAAGACUAGCAUGAGGGUUUAAUAUGAAAACUAGUUAUGAAUCUGUUUACUUUAAACUGUAAUCAAAACUAUAACAUGGAUUCCAUAUCUAAACUGAGGAUCAAAAGAUCAAAUCUUGUUCAAAAUCUGAGUAUAAACUAAUCAUAUGAUUCCUAAAAGCAUAAUCUUUUUAAAAUAUCAAUAUUAAAACUUGAGCUUAAUAACCCAUGCUUUAAACUCAUGUCAAAUCCAAAUAAUACUUCAUGCUCAAUAAUCUUCUUGAAAUACUUUAAUAAUUUCAGUCAAGAUAAUAAAUCAUAAUUAAAAUAUGAAUCUUAUGGAUCAAAACAUGAGCAUGCAAAAUCUUGAUGCACUAAAGCCUUUGAAUCUCAUGCUUUCUUUCAUAUAACUUGCAACAUAGUAUCAUGCUUAAAUGUUAAUUGAAAAUCUUUAAAUCAUUCAUAAAUAGAGGAGAACAAGCAUUCACUUUAACACUUAAAUCACUUUACAAAUCCAUAAACUCAAAACAAGAUAAGUUGGGUAUGUACCCUAAUUGAAAUAUAUGUAAAUUCAACUUUAAAACUAGUUUUAGGCACAAGGAUGAAAGUGUAUUCUUGAAGUUUAUUCUUGAGCUUUUUGAACCCGAAAGAUUUUAUUAUUAACUUUCUUGGAGAAAAUUUGGUAGAGUUCUUGGUGUUCUUGAAGGGGCUAGGGUUUUCUUAGAGAGAAAGAGAUGAAUUAUGAUGUAUCUAAUACUUUUGGGGUUGAAAUUAAGUGUUAUGAAUGAAUUUGGAUGAGGGAAAGUGAACAAAGUACCCCUAGACCCUUUAGGAACUUAAAUAGCAUGUGAACCAGUUCCGUAAUACAAUUGCCAUCAAGUUGUGCCACUAAUCAUAUUGAUGACCGACGCGUCGCAUCCCAAUCAUGUUGCUUGCUACCUUACACAGAAAAUGCCAUAACUUUUCGCUUGGGUUUUAUAUUAAGGCAAAAUUGGUAUCGUUGCAAAGAUAAUUCAAUUAUCUACAAUUUGGUGGGUCUUGAGCUACAAAAUUCUGCAUAUAUAAAAGUUAUACAUGUUAAAGUAAACCCUUGUAUAAUUGAAUACCAAACUUUGGACGAAUCAAAGGCUCUAAGCUCAACUUUGUUCUAAGUAAUUCUUAUGAAUAUUUUCACCUCGAAAGCACAUCAAACACAAGGAUAAAUAUCAUGAAAUUUAUACUCACAUGGUAAUAAUUUGGAUUUUAUCUUAUACAUGUAGGAACAAUGGUUCAAAGACUAGCCUGAAAAUGUGGGGUAUUAUAAGUGGUUGAUUUUAUUUAGAGAUUAUUAUCUAAUUAUUACUAUUUUGUCUUAUUAAAUGGAUAGUUUGUGGGUUUUUUUCACUCUACUAGAGGUGUCAAUCAAGGGUACCCUCUUUCACCUACAUUAUUUAUUUUAUCAGUAGAGGCGUUGACUAGAGCUCUUUACUAGUUUUCAAAGACUAGUCUUUUAUUGGUUUUUGUAUACCCAAAUGAAGUCCUGAAUUGAAUCAUCUUGCAUAUGCUAAUGAUAAAAUAAUUUUCACUUCUUCUAACGAAUACCCUAUUAAGAAGAUUAUGCAUAUUUUGAAUGAAUAUUAGUUAGAAUCUGGUCAAAUUAUUAACAGGGAAAAGAGAUUUUGUUAUAUGCAUUAUAAUUCUUUGACAAGUGUUGUGAUGUAUGUUGAGCAGGACAGUGGAAUGAGCAGAGAAAGUUUUCCUUUAAAAUAUCUUAGUUGUCCACUAUCUUAUUCCAAGAGGAAGAAGGGACAUUAUUCUAAACUGAUUGAUAAAGUUCAAAAUAAGCUAAAAAAAUAGAAGGGUAGAUUGUCAUCUUUUGGUGGAAAGGAAUUUCUUAUUAAAAGUAUUUUGCAGAGUAUUCCUAUUUAUACUUCUUUAUUAUUACAUACCAUAUACUGUGCUUGUGUUUUCUAUUUCCUGCUGUUGCUUGAUUACCAUCGUUUUGUGUUUUUUUGGGAGUUGUGGCUGUAGGAAUUCAUGCUAGGAUAGGGUCAUGUCCAAGGGGGUUGGGGAGGAGGCCUGUGUUGAGGGUGGGGGAGAAGAGAAGAACAAGUAAGGGAGAGGGGGUUAGGCCCAAUGUUCGAGGUGGUAAAGGUAGGGUUGCUAGAGUUGAUAGGCUGUGGGUUGGGUCUUGGAAUAUAGGUACUCUAUAGGGUAAGUCUAUAGAUCUAGUGAAGAUUAUUAGAAAGAGGAGGAUCAAUAUUGUGUGUGUGCAGGAGACUAAGUGGGUAGGGUCUAAGGCUAGGGAUGUAGAUGGUUACAAGCUGUGGUACUCUGGUAGUGAGAGGCAGAGAAUAGAGUUGGAAUCUUAGUAGAUAAAGAUCUUAGAGGGCAGGUAGUGGAGGUUAAGAGGAUCAACGAUAGGUUGAUAACUGUUAAGUUAAUCAUUGGGGGGCCUACUUUGAUCAUGUGUAGUGUUUAUGCACUACAAAUGGGCUUGGAUUGGGAGGAGAAGAUGCAGUUUUGGGAGGCAUUGGAUGAGGUGGUGAGAGGAGUGCCCAGUUCUGAGAAGAUUAUUGUAGCAGGAGAUUUCAAUGGGUAUAUUAGGGCGUUACCGGGAGGCUUUGGCGAUGUGCAUGGAGGUUUUGGUUUUAGGGAGAGAAAUGAGGAGGGAACUGCUCUGUUGGAUUUGCGAGGUCCUUUGGGUUGGUAGUGGUGAAUUUGAGCUUCUCAAAGAAGGACGAGCACCUAAUCACCUUUCGAAGCGCUAUAGCCAAGAUACAAAUUGACUUUUUGUUGCUUAGAAAAGGGGAUAGGGUGUUGUGUAAGGAAUGUAAAGUCAUCCCGAGUGAGAAUCUUUCACCCCAGCAUAGGCUCUUGGUGAUGGACUUAGGUAUUAAGAAAGAUAAGAAGAGAAGGGGUGAGGAGGGUAGACCUAGAAUUAAGUAGGGCGUCCUUACGUCGACAAAUGUGAGGGAGAUAGGGGAGAAGGUAGCGGGAAUAGGGGUGUGGGAGUGUAGGGGGAACGUGGAUGGUACGUAGGAUAGGGCAGCUAGGUGCAUUAGGGAGACUGCUAGUGAGGUGUUGGGUAUUUCUAGGGGUUGUGCCGGCCAUCGUUGGGGGUAUUAGUGGUGGAAUGAAGAAGUUAGAAAGAAAGUAGAGACUAAGAAGAGGACGUAUAAUAAGUUGGGUAAGAGUAGGGAUGAAGAUGAGAAGCGGGAUAAUAGGGAGGAGUACAAGAUAGCUAGGAAGGAGGCUAAGUUAGCAGUCACAGCGGCUAAGAUGGCAGUGUUCGAGAGCUUGUAUACGGGGUUAGAGGAGAAAAGAGGGGAAAAGUUAUUUUGGCUUGCUAAGGCUAGGUAGAGGAAGGGUCGUGACCUCGACUAGGUGAAAUACAUUAAAGGAAAGGAUGGUAGAGUAUUGGUAGAGGAUGGUCACAUUAAAAAGAGAUGGCAGUCGUACUUUGAUAGGUUAUUGAAUGAAGAAGGGGAUAGAGUUAUUAUUUUAGGAGAGCUAGAGCACGUAGAGGAGUGUCGUGAUUUUAGUUAUUGUAGACGUUUUAAGGGAGAAGAGGCCAGAGAGGCUAUUCAUAGGAUGAGUAGGAGUAGGGCGACGGGGCCUGAUGAGAUCCCUGUGGAUUUUUGGAAGUUCUCUGGAGAGGCUGGCUUAAGGUGGUUGACUGAAUUAUUUAACGACAUUUUCAAGUUGGCGAAAAUGCCCAAGGCUUGGAUAUGGAGUACUAUGAUCCUUCUUUAUAAGAAUAAGGGUGCCAUUCAGAGUUACAAUAACUAUAGAGGUAUUAAGUUACUAAGCCACACUAUGAAGAUUUGGGAGAGAGUGGUCGAGUUGAGGUUGAGGAGGUUGUGGCUAUCUCGGAAAAUUAGUUUGGAUUUAUGCCUGGGUGCUCGACGACGGAGGCAAUUCAUCUGGUGCGGAGACUGAUGGAAUAGUAUAGGAAAAGGAAAAGAGAUCAACAUAUGGUAUUUAUCGACUUGGAGAAGGCAUACGACAAAGUCCCUAGAGAGGUGCUUUGGAGAUGUUUGGAGGUGAGUGGGGUACCGGUGGCGUAUAUUAGAGAAAUCAAGGACAUGUAUAAUGGAGCUAAGACUCAGGUGAGGACGGCGGAAGGAGACUCAGAGUAUUUCCCUGUCUUGAUGGGGUUGUAUCAGGGUUCCACUCUUAGCCCAUUUUUGUUUUCUUUGGAGAUGGAUGUGUUGACGCGGCGUAUUCAAGGAGAGGUGCCUUGGUGUAUGUUUUUUGCAGAUGAUGUAGUUUUGAUUAAUGAUAUGUGGGGGGGGGGGGGAAUGAUAAAUUAGGGGUGUGGAGACAGACCCUUGAGUCUAAAGGGUUCAGGUUGAGCAGGAGCAAGAUAGAAUAUUUGGAAUGCAAGUUUAAUGACGUGAAGGAGGAAGAUGAGGUGGUAGUAAGGUUGAAUUCCCAGACGGAAUGUAAAAGGGAUAGUUUUAAGUAUUUGGGGUCCAUGAUUCAGGGGAAUGGUGAGAUUGACGAGGUUGUCUCCCAUCGUAUUAGAGUGGAAUGGAUGAAGUGGAAGCUCACCUCGGGGGUGUCGUGUGAUAGGAAGGUGCCGCCCAAGCUUAAAGGCAAAUUCUACAGGGUGGCAGUCCGGCCGGCCAUGUUGUACGGAGCGAAAUGUUGGCUAGUCAAGAACUGUCACAUUUAAAAAUUGAAAGUGGAAGAAAUGCGGAUGUUGCAUUGGAUGUGUGGGCUUAAUAGGGGUGAUAGAGUUCGAAAUGAGACUAUUCGGGAAAAGGUUGGAGUGGCUUACGUAGAGGAAAAGAUGCGGGAAGUCCGAUUGAGAUAGUUCGAGCAUGUGAUGAGGAGGGGAACGGAUGCCCUAAUUCGUAGGUAUGAGUAGCUUGGUUUGGAUGAUUUCAGGUGGGGUAGGGGUAGGCUGAAGAAUUACUGAAGAGAGGUGAUCAGGUGGGACAUGGAGUAGUUACAACUUACUGAGAACAUGACCCUAGAUAGGAAGAUUUAGAGGGCGUGAAUUAGGAUAAAAGGCUAGUGCCAUUUUGAGUUGUUGGGGUAGGACAUUACUUGGUAGACGUAUUAUUCUUGCUAAGACUCUUUGUUGUAUACUUUAUUACGAAUGUGUUUACCAUUUUUGUUUAUUAUCCCUUGUGGGUGGCAUAUUUUUGUCUUGACAUCUUGGUCCAUGCUUUAUUAAGUAUUUGUCUAUUAUUCCUUCUCUUUAGCUGAGGGUCUAUCGGAAACAACCUUUCUACUUCUCUUGAAGUAGUGGUAUAGCUAUAUGGGAAUACACUGGGUUUGUUGUUUUUGUAUUCCUAUUUAUUCUCUAUCAGCAGUGGUUCCACCUAAAAGUGUUUUCAAGAAGCUGCAAAGAAUAGUUGUAAGUUUUUUCUGGCAAACUAAGGAAACAGGGAGAAACAAACAAACAUUGGGCCACUUAGAAUAAUUUAGCUUUACCCCAAAAAGGAUGGUUGGGUUUUAGAUCUAUUUCUGAAGUAGCUAAGGCAAUGCAUGCUAAACUUUUGUGGAGAUUGAACUUAGAAUAAUUUGUGGGUAGAUUAUAUAUGGAAAAAAUAUUAUAAAAAGCAAUUAGCAACAGUGGUGUAAUGGAGAGGGGGUCACAAGUAUGGAAAUCAGUGCUAGAAAUUAGAGAGAAAAUGAAGGAAUUUAUAUGGUGGGAGCCUAUAGGUGGAACUUCUAUAGUGUGGUUUGAUAAUUGGACUAAUACUGGUCCUUUAUUCGAACAACACUCUAAAGUUCUUACUUGUCAUCCUCUAUCUGAUAUUGUGAACUUUCUUACUGAAGAGGGGUGAAAUUAUGAUAUUAUGAGGGAUGAAAUACCAACUCAUGUUGUUGAGCAUGUGAGAAACUAUAUAAACAGUGUAAGCUAUGAAGAUAAGAGGGAUAAACUAUGGUGGACUUGAGAUUCUAAUGGAAAGUUUCCCACAAAGAGUGCUUGGGAAUCUAUAAGAACAAAAGAAGUAGAGGAUGAAGAUCUUAACACCUUAUGGAGUAGAGGGAUACCAUUUAAAUUCAGCUUCUUGGCAUGGAGAAUAUGGAAGGGUUUGAUCCCAGCUGCUGCUUUAUUACAUAGCUGAAAUACUGAGAUCUCUGAAGAAUGUUUUGUGAAAAUCUCAGAAGAGAAGUAAUCUCACAUCUAUUUCUUAAAGGAGAAGUUGCUAAGAAAGUUUAGCAGUAUUUCUAUGUAGGUGCCGAAAUUAUGAGCAAAGUCUAAACUUGAGGCAAAGUAUCAGAAUAUGGAGAAAAAAAGAAGGGAACUAUAACGUAACAAUUGUCUAUAAAGUGGUACCAAUUGUCAUUCUAUGGUUUUUGUGGAAAAGAAUAAAUACUAUUAGGCAUGGAGGAUCUUAUUCUAUUAGUAAGGUUUUCUUGGAGAUUACUGAUUCUAUUGUGAAAUUUAUAAAAGUGAGGUUUAAUAUUGAUAUUAACGGUAGAGAUUAGGUUAGAAUUUUGGAUGAAUUACAAACAUCCAGAGGUGCUACUUCUUUUAAGAUGAUCAAUUGGAAACCUCAUGAAGCUGGGUGGCUUAAAUGUAACACUGAUGGUGUUUCAAAAGAAAAUCCAGGUCCUAGCUCUAUUGCUUUCUGUAUAAGGGAUCAACACGGUAAUAUUUUUGUAGCUCAGGGCAACAGAAUUAGAGAUACUACUAGUCUGGAGGUAGAAGCAAUGGCUAUUAGGGCAUGUCUAAUUUAUUGUAGAAGGAAAUAUAUUUUUCAACUUAUACUAAAAAGUGAUUCAUGGAUUAUGGUUAAGAUACUGAAUGCACAAUGGGAGAAACCUUGGAGUUUGGUUAUACUGGUUAAGUCCAUCACGACAUUGAUGGAAAGUAUAUCAGUUAGGGUGAUACAUUCCCAUAGGGAAGGUAACACUCUAGCAGACUUUCUUGCUAACUAGGUGUUUACUUGUGCAGGUGAAUUUCAUUAUAAUAAUGUAAAGCAAUUACCAAAAAAAGGCAAAGCUAUAUACAAAUUAGACAAAGCAGGAACUCCAAAUAUAUGAAGAUUAGUGCAGGUAGGUAGACUACUAAACAGUAACAAUUGCUACAAUAGGUAGUACCAAUUCAAUGCAGGAACAGGGAACAAUCUUUUUUAAAUAGAUAUAGAAGGGUAUAGGAAUAGUAAAAGAGAAAGAUUCAAGAAGCACCUGAUAUUAUCAAACUCUAGUAUACUGUUGGGAAGGUGUUAACAUGUAGCUUUAGAUUAAACCUAGACAUAUAACAAUCAUCAGGAGGUAAUUAGAUUAUGAAUUCUAUAUCAACAAUUUACCACAGAGAUGAUAAACCGACUGUUAGAAAAGAAUUCUAUUAAACAUCUAACCCACAUCCAGUGAGAUUCAAGGAUGUCAAGGGUUAUGGUGUUCAAACAGUUGGAAUAUCAAUCUAAAGUGGUAUUUUUAGAUGUAUUUAGUAAUAAUCAUCACAAAGCAAUUGAUCUAGAUUUUUUUUCACUAAUCGAUAGUAAGAUGGUGGUAUUAGUUUCUAUGAAAAUCAACCGAUUAACUACUGAUUAACGGAAGGGAAGUCCAAGAACUUAGCUUUUAUGAACCAUGAAGAUGAUGAUUGUAAGUAGGUGAUCAACGGCAGCUGCAUGGUAUCUCAACGGAGGGCCGACGAAUGGUUGAUGGAAAUCCGAUAAAGGCAGAGGAAGAGCAAGAGAUGGAGCUGAGGAAAAUGUUUCCUAAUUUGACCUAUAGAUUUUUUUUUUGAUUUUUUUUAUGGAACUGAACCCGAGUCGACCAUUUGGUCCUGAUUUGGGUUAUAUGAAUCAAUUUUAAUGUUUUUUUUUAAUAAAAUGGGCAUUCAGGUUGAUUUGAUUUAAAAAAAAGGCGUGGCAUUUGAGGUUCUCUAUAAUAAGAUAGUGCUAAUUGUCUUAAGUGCAGAUCUCCUUACUUCUUAUUGUGAUGUUGUCUGAAGAGAUAUACGAGUUACAUUUCUUCUCUGAGAUUUGGUCCCAAAACACAUGUAAACAUCAAAAACUUAACAAUGCAGUACAUAAAAUGAGUA